AUUGAACGCUGGCGGCAUGCUUUACACAUGCAAGUCGAACGGCAGCGCGGGCUUCGGCCUGGCGGCGAGUGGCGAACGGGUGAGUAAUGCAUCGGAACGUGCCCAGUAGUGGGGGAUAGCCCGGCGAAAGCCGGAUUAAUACCGCAUACGACCUGAGGGUGAAAGCGGGGGACCGAAAGGCCUCGCGCUAUCGGAGCGGCCGAUGUCGGAUUAGCUAGUUGGUGGGGUAAAGGCUUACCAAGGCGACGAUCCGUAGCUGGUCUGAGAGGCCGACCAGCCACACUGGGACUGAGACACGGCCCAGACGCCUACGGGAGGCAGCAGUGGGGAAUUUUGGACAAUGGGGGCAACCCUGAUCCAGCCAUGCCGCGUGCGGGAAGAAGGCCUUCGGGUUGUAAGCCGCUUUUGUUCGGGAAGAAAUCCUCUGGGCUAAUACCCCGGGGGGAUGACGGUACCGGAAGAAUAAGCGCCGGCUAACUACGUG
This 484-nucleotide ribosomal RNA is filed under the name uncultured bacterium. RNAcentral describes it as "partial 16S ribosomal RNA". It matches the Rfam family "Bacterial small subunit ribosomal RNA", at positions 28 to 507 of the family's 1533-position model. The record is from RNAcentral.